AUUGAACGCUGGCGGCAUGCCUUACACAUGCAAGUCGAACGGCAGCACGGGAGCAAUCCUGGUGGCGAGUGGCGAACGGGUGAGUAAUAUAUCGGAACGUGCCCAGUCGUGGGGGAUAACGCAGCGAAAGCUGUGCUAAUACCGCAUACGAUCUCUGGAUGAAAGCGGGGGACUCGCAAGGGCCCCGCGCGGUUGGAGCGGCCGAUAUCAGAUUAGCUAGUUGGUGGGGUAAAAGCUCACCAAGGCGACGAUCUGUAGCUGGUCUGAGAGGACGACCAGCCACACUGGAACUGAGACACGGUCCAGACUCCUACGGGAGGCAGCAGUGGGGAAUUUUGGACAAUGGGCGAAAGCCUGAUCCAGCAAUGCCGCGUGCAGGAUGAAGGCCUUCGGGUUGUAAACUGCUUUUGUACGGAACGAAACGGCUCGCCUUAAUACGGUGAGCUAAUGACGGUAUUGUAAGAAUAAGCACCGGCUAACUACGUGCCAGCAGCCGCGGUAAUACGUAGGGUGCGAGCGUUAAUCGGAAUUACUGGGCGUAAAGCGUGUGCAGGCGGUUAUGCAAGACAGAUGUGAAAUCCCCGGGCUCAACCUGGGACCUGCAUUUGUGACUGCAUAGCUAGAGUACGGUAGAGGGGGAUGGAAUUCCGCGUGUAGCAGUGAAAUGCGUAGAUAUGCGGAGGAACACCGAUGGCGAAGGCAAUCCCCUGGACCUGUACUGACGCUCAUGCACGAAAGCGUGGGGAGCAAACA
RNAcentral lists this ribosomal RNA (753 nucleotides) under uncultured beta proteobacterium. RNAcentral's name for it is "bacterial SSU rRNA". It matches the Rfam family "Bacterial small subunit ribosomal RNA", at positions 28 to 774 of the family's 1533-position model. Lineage: Bacteria; Pseudomonadati; Pseudomonadota; Betaproteobacteria. The record is from RNAcentral.